UGUAUGGGGAUCUGCCCGAUAGAGGGGAAUAACUACUGGAAGCGGUGGCUAAUACCGCAUAAUGUCUACGGACCAAAGCAGGGGCUCUUCGGACCUUGCACUAUCGGAUGAACCCAUAUGGGAUUAGCUAGUAGGUGGGGUAAAGGCUCACCUAGGCGACGAUCUCUAGCUGGUCUGAGAGGAUGAUCAGCCACACUGGGACUGAGACACGGCCCAG
RNAcentral lists this ribosomal RNA (217 nucleotides) under uncultured bacterium. RNAcentral describes it as "partial 16S ribosomal RNA". It matches the Rfam family "Bacterial small subunit ribosomal RNA", at positions 114 to 334 of the family's 1533-position model. The record is from RNAcentral.